This 73-nucleotide transfer RNA is filed under the name Thermoproteus sp. JCHS_4. Its description in RNAcentral is "tRNA-Arg". It matches the Rfam family "tRNA". From Rfam's summary of the family: Transfer RNA (tRNA) molecules are approximately 80 nucleotides in length. The record is from RNAcentral. Lineage: Archaea; Thermoproteati; Thermoproteota; Thermoprotei; Thermoproteales; Thermoproteaceae.
GGGCCGGUCGUCUAGCGGAAGGAUGCCCAGGCGCCGGCGCGGGCGAACCCGGGUUCGAAUCCCGGCCGGUCCA